This is a long non-coding RNA of Scatophagus argus, 1345 nucleotides long. RefSeq lists it as uncharacterized. The record is from RefSeq and is a predicted model, not a curated record. The transcript has 2 exons. Lineage: Eukaryota; Metazoa; Chordata; Actinopteri; Scatophagidae.
GAGCCUUUACGUAUUGCGAAGCUGGUCUCGAGUGACUUCCUGAAAUUUGGGGGCAAUUUUUGGGAACGUGCUCACGUGGUAGAUAUAGAAGUCAUGUGUCCCGGGGCCACCAUAUAUGUUAGUUUUUGCAAAAGCUACUGCAAAUCAGUACACUCACAUUUGGCUGAACAGGCCUCGGUCAUAUACUUGCAAAUUCUGCUAGUCAUAUGUUCCAAAGACUGGCCAAUGGCUUGUUCAACUUCGUAGCUCCUAGUCAGUGGGCUGAUGGCCAUUGCUGUUCCCUGGUCAGGUUUAGCCAUAGAUGAGGAUGUUUAAGAAAGUUUUGGUUACAAAGUAGAACGAGAUGACCUGUGUGGGACCCUAAAUUGAACCACCAUGAUCUGGGGCCCCUACACGACCUCUGAAAAGGACAAGCCUUGAGGAAGAUGCAAGACGGUUGUGCUUCAGAAUGCUGUACGAUUGAGUACCUGUGAGUCUUCUGUUAGUGUUCGAUGCCACUUGGAGAUUGACGGGGAGUUUUUUCUACAUUAAAGGCUCUUGAGACUAGAUGUUGGGUUCAUGAGGCUUUACGUAUUGAGAACCUGGUCUUGAGUUUUUUGCUUUGCAUUAAGGGCUCUUGAGGCUAGAUCAGGGAUCGGCAACCUUUAACACCAAAAGAGCCAUUUGAACCCGGUUUCCACAAAAAAAAAACACUGAGAGCCGCAAAUACAUUUUGACAUCUAAAAUGGGGAAAAAACACAUUUAUUAGAAAGUAAAAAAUAAACUAAAACUUAUUAGUGCUUUGACUACCCUUUUGAAGAUGGGCUAUAAAGUGUUGCUUAAGAAAUCCACAAAGUGCUACAGAGAAAAUUAAAUUUCUUUUUUAAUGAACACAUUUUGAACAUUCUGAACAUUCUUGAACAUUCACAUUUUGAGUUCUUGAAAAAUAAUAACAAUGUCUAAAUGUCUCUUUCAAAUAAAUUAAAAGGCUGAACUUAAAUAAUCCAUGUAGCAAACAAAAGCAAAAACGUGCUACAAUGUCCUCAUAAGCUUCUUGGAUUUCGAGCAUAUUUUAAAUUCAAACACCAUCUGUUUAUCUUUUAAUAACUGCAUAAUAUUUGUACAGACAUUCAAUCACUUCACAUUCUUUUGCUUUUUUUUGCACUUUUUGCUGGUUCCUUAAAAAAAAGUUAUAUUAAACAUUGCUCAUUCGAACAGAGUCCAGAUUGUAGAUUCCUACACCAAUGUUACAGCAAACUAGAUUUUUUUUUACUGUUCAGCAGAAAGAAAGAAAAAAUCUAAUUGUUCAAUAAAUCAAUGAACUUGAUCAAAUCACUUAAGUGAUUAAAUAAAAGUUGGAAAUCAA